Molecule: ribosomal RNA, 1434 nt
Filed under: Brevibacterium sp.
Lineage: Bacteria; Bacillati; Actinomycetota; Actinomycetes; Micrococcales; Brevibacteriaceae
Description: bacterial SSU rRNA
Rfam family: Bacterial small subunit ribosomal RNA
Source: RNAcentral
GCUGGGCUGCGUGCUUACCAUGCAAGUCGAACGCUGAAGCCUGGUGCUUGCACCGGGUGGAUGAGUGGCGAACGGGUGAGUAACACGUGAGUAACCUGCCCCUGACUUCGGGAUAAGCCCGGGAAACUGGGUCUAAUACCGGAUACGACUGCCGGACGCAUGUCUGGUGGUGGAAAGUUUUUUCGGUUGGGGAUGGGCUCGCGGCCUAUCAGUUUGUUGGUGAGGUAAUGGCUCACCAAGACGACGACGGGUAGCCGGCCUGAGAGGGCGACCGGCCACACUGGGACUGAGACACGGCCCAGACUCCUACGGGAGGCAGCAGUGGGGAAUAUUGCACAAUGGGGGAAACCCUGAUGCAGCGACGCAGCGUGCGGGAUGACGGCCUUCGGGUUGUAAACCGCUUUCAGCAGGGAAGAAGCGCAAGUGACGGUACCUGCAGAAGAAGUACCGGCUAACUACGUGCCAGCAGCCGCGGUAAUACGUAGGGUACGAGCGUUGUCCGGAAUUAUUGGGCGUAAAGAGCUCGUAGGUGGUUGGUCACGUCUGCUGUGGAAACGCAACGCUUAACGUUGCGCGUGCAGUGGGUACGGGCUGACUAGAGUGCAGUAGGGGAGUCUGGAAUUCCUGGUGUAGCGGUGAAAUGCGCAGAUAUCAGGAGGAACACCGGUGGCGAAGGCGGGACUCUGGGCUGUAACUGACACUGAGGAGCGAAAGCAUGGGGAGCGAACAGGAUUAGAUACCCUGGUAGUCCAUGCCGUAAACGUUGGGCACUAGGUGUGGGGGGCAUUCCACGUUCUCCGCGCCGUAGCUAACGCAUUAAGUGCCCCGCCUGGGGAGUACGGUCGCAAGGCUAAAACUCAAAGGAAUUGACGGGGGCCCGCACAAGCGGCGGAGCAUGCGGAUUAAUUCGAUGCAACGCGAAGAACCUUACCAAGGCUUGACAUACACCGGACCGUCCUGGAAACAGGGUCCUCUUCUUUGAAGCUGGGUGUACAGGUGGUGCAUGGUUGUCGUCAGCUCGUGUCGUGAGAUGUUGGGUUAAGUCCCGCAACGAGCGCAACCCUCGUUCUAUGUUGCCAGCACGUGAUGGUGGGAACUCAUAGGAGACUGCCGGGGUCAACUCGGAGGAAGGUGGGGAUGACGUCAAAUCAUCAUGCCCUUUAUGUCUUGGGCUUCACGCAUGCUACAAUGGCUGGUACAGAGAGAGGCGAACCCGUGAGGGCAAGCGAAUCCCUUAAAGCCAGUCUCAGUUCGGAUCGUAGUCUGCAAUUCGACUACGUGAAGUCGGAGUCGCUAGUAAUCGCAGAUCAGCAACGCUGCGGUGAAUACGUUCCCGGGCCUUGUACACACCGCCCGUCAAGUCACGAAAGUCGGUAACACCCGAAGCUCGGUGGCCUAACCGUAAGGAGGGGGCCGUCUAAGGUGCACGGUCGA